GAGAGCUUGUAAAAUGCUUGCAGAUCAAUUCAUUGGAGGCGCAGUUUCGGACUCAGACAGCAAGAAGUCCCAAGGACAGGAUCGUAAGAGCCCAAGAGGUUCCUCCAUUGACCCACUUGGUUUCUAUGCUUCCCAAUCGCAAGAGAUGGAAAGAGUGAAUGGCACGGAAGAAGUGCAGGCUAAUCUCCCUUGCCAAAGGGCUGAUUGUUCAACCGAAAGCUGCCUAACCUCCAAC
RNAcentral lists this unclassified non-coding RNA (235 nucleotides) under Hevea brasiliensis (rubber tree). Lineage: Eukaryota; Viridiplantae; Streptophyta; Magnoliopsida; Malpighiales; Euphorbiaceae. The record is from RNAcentral.